AACCAAUGGAGAACCCCUCUUUUUCAAAAAAUCUAAAAUCUACAUUUUUCUCGGGUUCUACCUUUCUAACAGAUAAGAAAAUUUUACUGGGGCUUAAUGGAGAUCGAGAAGAACCUGGAGCAGAUGCCGAAACAGGAAUGGAAGCAGAAGAGGUCUGAGAAGCCUAUCUCUUCCUGCGCAUGCCCUCUUCCAACUCGCGGACCGACUUUCUUCUUUGUGGGAGCUUCAUUUUUGGAGCCAUUUCCACCACCAGAGCAAGCAAGGGGACUUGGGAGAUCAAAUGUGUGAGGAGAUAG
RNAcentral lists this long non-coding RNA (296 nucleotides) under Elaeis guineensis (African oil palm). Its description in RNAcentral is "long non-coding RNA (EGUI_LNC074260)". The record is from RNAcentral. Lineage: Eukaryota; Viridiplantae; Streptophyta; Magnoliopsida; Arecales; Arecaceae.